Molecule: long non-coding RNA, 341 nt
Organism: Melanotaenia boesemani (Boeseman's rainbowfish)
Lineage: Eukaryota; Metazoa; Chordata; Actinopteri; Atheriniformes; Melanotaeniidae
Exons: 4
Source: RefSeq, a predicted model, not a curated record
AAGGUGGAGCAGUAAAGGUUUGGAAGGUGGAGCAGUAAAGGGUUUGAAGGUGGAGCAGUAAAGGGUUUGAAGGUGGAGCAGUAAAGGGUUAGAAGGUGGAGCAGUAAAGGGUUUGAAGGUGGAGCAGUAAAGGUUUGGAAGGUGGAGCAGUAAAGGGUUUGAAGGUGGAGCAGUAAAGGGUUUGAAGGUGGAGCAGUAAAGGGUUUGAAGGUGGAGCAGUAAAGGGUUAGAAGGUGGAGCAGUAAAGGGUUUGAAGGUGGAGCAGUAAAGGGUUUGAAGGUGGAGCAGUAAAGGGUUUGAAGGUGGAGCAGUAAAGGUUUGGAAGGUGGAGCAGUAAAGGG